CCUACGGGUGGCUGCAGUGAGGAAUAUUGGUCAAUGGACGAGAGUCUGAACCAGCCAAGUAGCGUGAAGGAUGACUGCCCUAUGGGUUGUAAACUUCUUUUAUAUGGGAAUAAAACGUUCCACGUGUGGGAUUUUGUAUGUACCAUAUGAAUAAGGAUCGGCUAACUCCGUGCCAGCAGCCGCGGUAAUACGGAGGAUCCGAGCGUUAUCCGGAUUUAUUGGGUUUAAAGGGAGCGUAGGUGGAUUGUUAAGUCAGUUGUGAAAGUUUGCGGCUCAACCGUAAAAUUGCAGUUGAAACUGGCAGUCUUGAGUACAGUAGAGGUGGGCAGAAUUCGUGGUGUAGCGGUGAAAUGCUUAGAGAUCACGAAGAACUCCGAUUGCGAAGGCAGUUCACUGGACUGCAACUGACACUGAGGCUCGAAAGUGUGGGUAUCAAACAGGAUUAGAUACCCGUGUAGUC
Molecule: ribosomal RNA, 460 nt
Filed under: uncultured bacterium
Lineage: Bacteria
Description: partial 16S ribosomal RNA
Rfam family: Bacterial small subunit ribosomal RNA
Source: RNAcentral